GACGAACGCUGGCGGCGUGCUCAACACAUGCAAGUCGAACGGAAAGGCCCUGCUUUUGUGGGGUGCUCGAGUGGCGAACGGGUGAGUAACACGUGAGUAACCUGCCCUUGACUUUGGGAUAACUUCAGGAAACUGGGGCUAAUACCGGAUAGGAGCUCCUGCUGCAUGGUGGGGGUUGGAAAGUUUCGGUGGUUGGGGAUGGACUCGCGGCUUAUCAGCUUGUUGGUGGGGUAGUGGCUUACCAAGGCUUUGACGGGUAGCCGGCCUGAGAGGGUGACCGGCCACAUUGGGACUGAGAUACGGCCCAGACUCCUACGGGAGGCAGCAGUGGGGAAUAUUGCACAAUGGGCGGAAGCCUGAUGCAGCAACGCCGCGUGCGGGAUGACGGCCUUCGGGUUGUAAACCGCUUUCGCCUGUGACGAAGCGUGAGUGACGGUAAUGGGUAAAGAAGCACCGGCUAACUACGUG
RNAcentral lists this ribosomal RNA (468 nucleotides) under uncultured bacterium. Its description in RNAcentral is "partial 16S ribosomal RNA". It matches the Rfam family "Bacterial small subunit ribosomal RNA", at positions 28 to 507 of the family's 1533-position model. The record is from RNAcentral.